This 150-nucleotide small nuclear RNA is filed under the name Peromyscus maniculatus bairdii (prairie deer mouse). Its description in RNAcentral is "U1 spliceosomal RNA (ENSPEMG00000004642.2)". It matches the Rfam family "U1 spliceosomal RNA". From Rfam's summary of the family: U1 is a small nuclear RNA (snRNA) component of the spliceosome (involved in pre-mRNA splicing). Its 5' end forms complementary base pairs with the 5' splice junction, thus defining the 5' donor site of an intron. The record is from RNAcentral. Lineage: Eukaryota; Metazoa; Chordata; Mammalia; Rodentia; Cricetidae.
UGUCUUGCCUGGCAGGGGAGAUACCAUGAUAACGAAGAUGGUUUUUCCAGGGCGAGGCUUAUCCAUUGCUCACCCCUGAGAUUUCCCUAAAUGCGGGAAACUCACUGAAUAAUUUGUGGAAUUGGGGACCUGCGUUUGUGCUCUCCCCUA